This 361-nucleotide long non-coding RNA is filed under the name Vulpes vulpes (red fox). RNAcentral describes it as "lncRNA (ENSVVUG00000030307.1)". The record is from RNAcentral. Lineage: Eukaryota; Metazoa; Chordata; Mammalia; Carnivora; Canidae.
AAGUUAUGGUGUCCGCUUAGGUGAAAGUGGCACCUAAAACUGCCAUCCUGAGUAAAGCUUGGCUUCUAACACCAUACAGAUGUCUCUUCAUUGGUUUUGCUGCUCCUCCUCACGGUGGAUGCUUUGUCAACCAGAGAAGCAAUGGGUCCACUAACGUCAGAUUAAGGAAGGAAUGAAUGUCUGGAAUCCAUCACGACUAUAGUCUUACACUGGCUCCUAUCCAUCAAGAAUAGGACAAGAACAGUGCUAUGGAUCACGUUGAAAGUUCUGCUGCAGGAGUUUGGGGACCGAGGUGGGGGGCACUCCUGUUCUAAGAUUGCUCAGGUUAUAACCCUUAUUAAAUAAAAAAAAAACAGCAACG